GCAGCGGAUACGGUUGUUGUUGC
This 23-nucleotide non-coding RNA is filed under the name Arabidopsis thaliana (thale cress). The record is from RNAcentral. Lineage: Eukaryota; Viridiplantae; Streptophyta; Magnoliopsida; Brassicales; Brassicaceae.